CUGUGUCAGCACGCCCACACCAGGCCACAACAAUGGCUGCCACCAAUGUCCCAGUCCCUGGAGAGGUCUCACCCCUCACCGAGAUGCACUCAGGGCCUAUUAGAAAUUUGAAUUUGAAACUGCCAACAGAGCCACUGGCUGACCUGCUCUUGACAGCUGAUUUUCAGGGUCUCCCUCCUUUCCAGUCAGCGACCACUCCUCCCUUCGCCAGCAUUUUGGCUUAAGAUUGUGUACUCUCUCCAUCCUGAUUGAGAUCUUUGUUGGUCUUAUGGAAAGAGAAGAGGAAAAAAAGAAGUACUUUGAUAAUCAGUACUGUUACCAGUGAGCUGAACCAUAAGUAGUAUGAUCAGAGUAUCUCUUCUUAGAAAAUAAGUAAUAAGUAAACAGCUAGAAUCUUGUUCAGGGUAACUGAGAUAAGAAAAAUGAUUUGACAACCAUUAACAAAGUGUAUUCCGUGAGAUAUUAGUAGGUGUUACGUAAAACAAUAUUUUUUUUGUGGUGGUGGUGGUUUGGACAACAUUGGGUUAAAUUGCUUAUUUACUGCAUUACUUAUCAUGGCCCUUAAUAUUCUAAUGCUCAUUGAGAGUUCUCAAAUUUGUAUGAAAUCAAGAACAUUUUUCCCCCUGGAGCAUCUUGCCAGACCAGUCUUCUGUGGAACCCAUUUGGGAAGGGCUAGAUUAGUGGCCUAUUGUCAUGUUGAGGAUUUUAAAUUAAUGAGUGAUAUGGGAAACAGUUCUUACAUUUUUGAGGAAGACACCAUGGAGGGCCAUCACUCAGUCUUAAAAAUUUUACUUUUGUGUCUCUGUCAGGGAUGUUUUUUGUAUGUCUGGGUUAUGGGACAGGCUAAAGGGUGAAUGUCCUGUUGAGACAUUCUCAGUUGCUGCCCUGGCAGGGAGUCUUUGUCUCUGCUCCCCUUUUACUUGCUGAUGCUGUGUUUUGUUUUUUCCUGAGGGGAGAACGUGCAGUGAAGAGUGGAGUGAUGGUAACAACUUUGUUGUUCUUUGCCAGAUACAGUCAUGCGCUGCAUGAUGAUGUUUUGAUCAAUGAUGGACCGCAUAUACGACAGUGGUCCCAAAAGAUCAUAAUGGAGCUGAAAAUUCCGAUCAUCUAGUGACAUCAAAGCCACUGUAAUAUCAUAGUACAAUGUGUUACUCACAUGUUUGUGGUGAUGCUGGUGUAAACAUACCUACUGCACUGCCAGUUGUAUAAAAGUAUAGAAGAUAUAAUUAUAUACCGUACAUAAUACGUGAUAAUGAUAAUAAAUGACUAUGUUACUGGUUUAGGUAUUAUACUAUACUUUUUAUCAUUAUUUCAGAGUA
Diceros bicornis minor is the source of this 1319-nucleotide long non-coding RNA. RefSeq lists it as uncharacterized. Lineage: Eukaryota; Metazoa; Chordata; Mammalia; Perissodactyla; Rhinocerotidae. The transcript is spliced from 3 exons. The record is from RefSeq and is a predicted model, not a curated record.